RNAcentral lists this ribosomal RNA (562 nucleotides) under uncultured bacterium. RNAcentral describes it as "bacterial SSU rRNA". It matches the Rfam family "Bacterial small subunit ribosomal RNA", at positions 338 to 916 of the family's 1533-position model. The record is from RNAcentral.
CCUACGGGAGGCAGCAGUGGGGAAUAUUGGACAAUGGGCGAAAGCCUGAUCCAGCAAUGCCGCGUGAGUGAUGAAGGCCUUAGGGUCGUAAAGCUCUUUUACCAGGGAUGAUAAUGACAGUACCUGGAGAAUAAGCUCCGGCUAACUCCGUGCCAGCAGCCGCGGUAAUACGGAGGGAGCUAGCGUUGUUCGGAAUUACUGGGCGUAAAGCGUGCGUAGGCGGUUAUUCAAGUCAGAGGUGAAAGCCCGGGGCUCAACCCCGGAACGGCCUUUGAAACUAGAUAACUAGAAUCUUGGAGAGGUCAGUGGAAUUCCGAGUGUAGAGGUGAAAUUCGUAGAUAUUCGGAAGAACACCAGUGGCGAAGGCGACUGACUGGACAAGUAUUGACGCUGAGGUACGAAAGCGUGGGGAGCAAACAGGAUUAGAUACCCUGGUAGUCCACGCCGUAAACGAUGAUAACUAGCUGUCCGGACACUUGGUGUUUGGGUGGCGCAGCUAACGCAUUAAGUUAUCCGCCUGGGGAGUACGGUCGCAAGAUUAAAACUUAAAGGAAAUUGACGG